UGCAAAGCGCGGCAGCUGUUUGACUCCCU
This 29-nucleotide non-coding RNA is filed under the name Rattus norvegicus (Norway rat). Lineage: Eukaryota; Metazoa; Chordata; Mammalia; Rodentia; Muridae. The record is from RNAcentral.